RNAcentral lists this ribosomal RNA (1421 nucleotides) under uncultured bacterium. Its description in RNAcentral is "16S ribosomal RNA". It matches the Rfam family "Bacterial small subunit ribosomal RNA". The record is from RNAcentral.
GGCGAACGCUAGCGGCGUGGAUAAGGCAUGCAAGUCUUACGAUAGGAAGUUAGAUUUUCUAACUUCCUAUAGUGGCGAACGGGGCAGUAAUACGUCUCUAACUCACCCUUCAGACGAAGAUAACUCACCGAAAGGCGAGCUAAUAAUCGAUAGUCCUAGGAUUACAAAAGUAAUACUGGGUAAAGCUGUAAAGCGCUGAAGGAGAGGGGGACGGCCGAUCAGCUAGUUGGUGAGAUAAUAGCUCACCAAGGCUAUGACCGGUAGGGGACCUGAGAGGGUAUUCCCCGCCAAUGGCACUGAGACACGGGCCUUACUCCUACGGGAGGCAGCAGCCGAGAAUCUUGGGCAAUGGGCGAAAGCCUGACCCAGUGACGCCGCGUGCCGGAAGAAGCCCUUCGGGGUGUAAACGGCUUUUCUGGGGGAGGAAGUUCUAUACCACUAAAUGGUAUAGGAUUGACAGUACCCCAGGAAUAAGGGACGACCAACUUCGUGCCAGCAGUCGCGGUAAGACGAAGGUCCCAAGCGUUACCCGGAUUUACUGGGCGUAAAGGGCGAGAAGGUGGUCUGAUAAGUUCUUCUUUAAAGCUUUUCGGCUCAACCGAAAAGAAAAGAAGGAUACUGUCGGACUAGAGACUAUCUGAGGCUAGCGGAACGCACGGUGUAGGGGUGAAAUCCGAUGAUAUCGUGCGGAACUCCAAAGGCGAAGGCAGCUAGCUAGGAUAGCUCUGACACUGAUCUCGCGAAAGCUAGGGGAGCGACGGGGAUUAGAUACCCCCUUAGUCCUAGCUGUAAACGAUGGAUGCUAACUUUGGGGAGUCUCGACCCUCUCUGAGGUAAAGCUAACGCGUUAAGCAUCCCGCCUGGGGAGUAUAGCCGCAAGGCUGAAACUCAAAGGAAUAGGCGGAAGCCCGAACAAGCGGUGGACCAUGUUUGCUCAAUUCGAGAGUGACCGAAAAAUCUUACCCAGGUUUGACAUGCUAGUCUUAAUGCUUCUUCCGAAAGGAAGAAGAAAUCCGAUUUUUGUCGGAUGGGCUAGCACAGGUGCUGCAUGGCGGUCGUCAGCUCGUGGUGUGAACCGUAACCUUAAGUGGCACAACGAGCGCAACCCCCGUCCUGUGUUACAAGUGUUACAGGAGACUGCUGAGUAUAACUCGGAGGAAGGUGGGGAUGACGUCACGUCUGCAUGGCCCUUAUGCCUGGGGCGGCAAACAUGGUACAAUGCUGGGGACAAAGGGAAGCGAAACUGCGAGGUGGAGCAAAUCCCUAAAAACCUAGCUCAGUUCGGAUUGUAGGCUGAAACUCGCCUGCAUGAAGCUGGAAUCGCUAGUAAUCGCGGGUCAGCUAUACCGCGGUGAAUGCGUUCUCGGGCUUUGCACUCACUGCCCGUCAGGUCAGGAGAGUUCUCUCUACCUGAAGCCCUU